AACGCGAAGAACCUUACCAGCCCUUGACAUGUCCCGUAUGGGUGGGGGAGACCCCAUUCUUCAGUUCGGCUGGCGGGAACACAGGUGCUGCAUGGCUGUCGUCAGCUCGUGUCGUGAGAUGUUGGGUUAAGUCCCGCAACGAGCGCAACCCUCAUCUUCAGUUGCCACCGGGUUAUGCCGGGGACUCAUAGGAGACUGCCGGGGUCAACUCGGAGGAAGGUGGGGAUGACGUCAAGUCCUCAUGCCCCUUAUAUCUUGGGCUGCAAACAUGCUACAAUGGCCAGUACAGAGGGCUGCGAGACCGCAAGGUGGAGCGAAUCUCAAAAAAGCUGGUCUCAGUUCGGAUUGGGGUCUGCAACUCGACCCCAUGAAGUCGGAGUCGCUAGUAAUCGCGAAUCAGCAACGUCGCGGUGAAUACGUUCCCGGGCCUUGUACACACCGACAUA
Molecule: ribosomal RNA, 446 nt
Filed under: uncultured bacterium
Lineage: Bacteria
Description: bacterial SSU rRNA
Rfam family: Bacterial small subunit ribosomal RNA
Source: RNAcentral